AUCUUUUUGUAGUUCAUAAGCUUAUGAUGACAUAAGUGUGAUGACGUUGGGUUUUCACGCUCAUGUGUGAGAUGUGCCUCCCUCAAGCCUUAUUACAAUGCCAGUACAUUUUUUUUCCACAUCUGAUA
Small nucleolar RNA from Macaca fascicularis (crab-eating macaque), 128 nucleotides. Lineage: Eukaryota; Metazoa; Chordata; Mammalia; Primates; Cercopithecidae. The record is from Ensembl.